Molecule: small nuclear RNA, 23 nt
Filed under: Arabidopsis thaliana (thale cress)
Lineage: Eukaryota; Viridiplantae; Streptophyta; Magnoliopsida; Brassicales; Brassicaceae
Description: snRNA_07410
Source: RNAcentral
GGUUUAAAUUGUUAAAUGGAGAA